UGCAGUCGAACGGUAACAUUUCUAGCUUGCUAGAAGAUGACGAGUGGCGGACGGGUGAGUAAUGCUUGGGAACUUGCCUUUGCGAGGGGGAUAACAGUUGGAAACGACUGCUAAUACCGCAUAAUGUCUACGGACCAAACGGGGCUUCGGCUCCGGCGCAAAGAGAGGCCCAAGUGAGAUUAGCUAGUUGGUAAGGUAACGGCUUACCAAGGCGACGAUCUCUAGCUGUUCUGAGAGGAAGAUCAGCCACACUGGGACUGAGACACGGCCCAGACUCCUACGGGAGGCAGCAGUGGGGAAUAUUGCACAAUGGGGGAAACCCUGAUGCAGCCAUGCCGCGUGUGUGAAGAAGGCCUUCGGGUUGUAAAGCACUUUCAGUUGUGAGGAAAAGUUAGUAGUUAAUACCUGCUAGCCGUGACGUUAACAACAGAAGAAGCACCGGCUAACUCCGUGCCAGCAGCCGCGGUAAUACGGAGGGUGCGAGCGUUAAUCGGAAUUACUGGGCGUAAAGCGCACGCAGGCGGUUUGUUAAGCUAGAUGUGAAAGCCCCGGGCUCAACCUGGGAUGGUCAUUUAGAACUGGCAGACUAGAGUCUUGGAGAGGGGAGUGGAAUUCCAGGUGUAGCGGUGAAAUGCGUAGAUAUCUGGAGGAACAUCAGUGGCGAAGGCGACUCCCUGGCCAAAGACUGACGCUCAUGUGCGAAAGUGUGGGUAGCGAACAGGACUAGAUACCCUGGUAGUCCACACCGUAAACGCUGUCUACUAGCUGUGUGUGUCUUUAAGACGUGCGUA
RNAcentral lists this ribosomal RNA (791 nucleotides) under uncultured Alteromonas sp. RNAcentral describes it as "bacterial SSU rRNA". It matches the Rfam family "Bacterial small subunit ribosomal RNA", at positions 56 to 845 of the family's 1533-position model. Lineage: Bacteria; Pseudomonadati; Pseudomonadota; Gammaproteobacteria; Alteromonadales; Alteromonadaceae. The record is from RNAcentral.